This 458-nucleotide unclassified non-coding RNA is filed under the name Hevea brasiliensis (rubber tree). Lineage: Eukaryota; Viridiplantae; Streptophyta; Magnoliopsida; Malpighiales; Euphorbiaceae. The record is from RNAcentral.
GACGUUUUCUAGGAUCAGAAGGAAGAGCUAUAAUGACGACUGGUAUAAAUCUGGUAGUUCUCGGAAUCUUGUUAUUUGGCUUCAUCUUUCUCUUUAAUUUUUAUCGUUGUCCAUUGUCAAAAAAGUACGGCCUUCCACUUGUCUAUGUUAUCCAGCUUUCUAUUCUUUUUUUCGUUUCUUUCUUUUUUUACGGUGUUCGAAUCUAUUCCAUUUCUCGCGUAGGCAUUUAUUUGAGUGAUCUUUGUUCUGUUGCUGUCGUCGGGUUUCUUUUACAUUUCUCAGGAGAAGAGAUCAUUACUAAUUCGGACUCUUCGGGCUCAGCAAACUCGGGGUCGCUUCUUAGAAUAAUUCAAGCUCCAAGUCCCGGUACACAGGCAGAAGUAUUCGAAAUACCCCCCACUCCGGACCCCGAGCCGGCGGUUCUACCACAAGCUGCGGAGCCCGAUAAUUCCUUUCCG